UACGGGGGGAGCAAGCGUUGUUCGGAUUUACUGGGCGUAAAGGGCGCGUAGGCGGUCAGCACAAGUCAGUUGUGAAAUCUCCGGGCUUAACUCGGAAAGGUCAACUGAUACUGUGCGACUAGAGUGCGGAAGGGGCAACUGGAAUUCUCGGUGUAGCGGUGAAAUGCGUAGAUAUCGUAAGGAAGACCAGUGGCGAAGGCGGGUCUCUGGACAGUUCCUGACGCUGAGGCACGAAGGUCAGGGGAGCAAACGGG
RNAcentral lists this ribosomal RNA (254 nucleotides) under uncultured bacterium. Its description in RNAcentral is "partial 16S ribosomal RNA". It matches the Rfam family "Bacterial small subunit ribosomal RNA", at positions 524 to 776 of the family's 1533-position model. The record is from RNAcentral. RNAcentral also lists the same sequence under 1 other name.